RNAcentral lists this ribosomal RNA (484 nucleotides) under uncultured bacterium. Its description in RNAcentral is "partial 16S ribosomal RNA". It matches the Rfam family "Bacterial small subunit ribosomal RNA", at positions 30 to 507 of the family's 1533-position model. The record is from RNAcentral.
AUUGAACGCUGGCGGAAUGCUUUACACAUGCAAGUCGAGCGGCAGCACGGGGGCAACCCUGGUGGCGAGCGGCGAACGGGUGAGCAAUACAUCGGAACAUGCCCAGUCGUGGGGGAUAACACUUCGAAAGAAGUGCUAAUACCGCAUACGUCCUGAGGGGGAAAGCGGGGGAUCGCAAGACCUCGCGCGAUUGGAGUGGCCGAUGUCAGAUUAGCUAGUUGGUGGGGUAAAGGCCUACCAAGGCAACGAUCUGUAGCUGGUCUGAGAGGAUGAUCAGCCACACUGGGACUGAGACACGGCCCAGACUCCUACGGGGGGCAGCAGUGGGGAAUUUUGGACAAUGGGGGCAACCCUGAUCCAGCCAUUCCGCGUGAGUGAAGAAGGCCUUCGGGUUGUAAAGCUCUUUCGGCAGGAACGAAACGGUGAGCUCUAACAUAGCUUGCUAAUGACGGUACCUGAAGAAGAAGCACCGGCUAACUACGUG